Molecule: ribosomal RNA, 447 nt
Filed under: uncultured bacterium
Lineage: Bacteria
Description: partial 16S ribosomal RNA
Rfam family: Bacterial small subunit ribosomal RNA
Source: RNAcentral
GCCAGACUCCUACGGGAGGCAGCAGUGGGGAAUAUUGCACAAUGGGGGGAACCCUGAUGCAGCGACGCCGCGUGGGCGAGGAAGUAUUUCGGUAUGUAAAGCCCUAUCGGCAGGGAAGAAGAAAUGACGGUACCUGAAUAAGAAGCACCGGCUAAAUACGUGCCAGCAGCCGCGGUAAUACGUAUGGUGCAAGCGUUAUCCGGAUUUACUGGGUGUAAAGGGAGCGUAGACGGCAGUGCAAGUCCGGAGUGAAAGCCCGGGGCUCAACCCUGGGACUGCUCUGGAAACUGUAAAGCUGGAGUGCGGGAGGGGCAGGCGGAAUUCCUGGUGUAGCGGUGAAAUGCGUAGAUAUCAGGAGGAACACCGGCGGCGAAGGCGGCCUGCUGGACCGUAACUGACGUUGAGGCCCGAAAGCGUGGGGAGCAAACAGGAUUAGAUACCCUAGUA